This 305-nucleotide ribosomal RNA is filed under the name uncultured bacterium. RNAcentral describes it as "bacterial SSU rRNA". It matches the Rfam family "Bacterial small subunit ribosomal RNA", at positions 338 to 658 of the family's 1533-position model. The record is from RNAcentral.
CCUACGGGGGGCAGCAGUGGGGAAUAUUGGGCAAUGGGCGCAAGCCUGACCCAGCAACGCCGCGUGAAGGAAGAAGGCUUUCGGGUUGUAAACUUCUUUUAAGGGGGAAGAGCAGAAGACGGUACCCCUUGAAUAAGCCACGGCUAACUACGUGCCAGCAGCCGCGGUAAUACGUAGGUGGCAAGCGUUGUCCGGAUUUACUGGGUGUAAAGGGCGUGCAGCCGGAGAGACAAGUCAGAUGUGAAAUCCACGGGCUCAACCCUUGGACUGCUUUGGAAACUGUGCUGCUGGAGUGUCGGAGAGGC